AGAGGUGUUUAUGCUCUUUCAGAUGAUAGAGUGUCGGCAGAAUCCCGGACACAUUGGGUGUGAUAUUCCCUUGUAAGAUAUAAAGAUAACAUAAAUUGAAGUUAAGUAACAUGGAAUAAAAUUAACAAAAGUAAUGAAUAAAACUAAACAUAAAAUAUAAUCCUAACUUAAAUAGUUGCUAUAUAGUAAGUUAAUGCAAGACCUUUAAACAUAUCUAUGAGUGAUAUUAUUAUUCAUAUUUCCUUUGGUUUCUUUACUUAUUAAAGUUGUCAGAAGACAAAAAUACGGAUAAAAACAAGAUGACAACAUCAGUCUAACAACAGAUACAAACAGAAGAGAGCUAGCAACAGAAGAGAUGAGCAAGAGAACUACCAAAGGGAUGCUAAGCUCAAUUCUAACUAAAAAAAAAUAUUUUUUUUCUUCUCCUGUAUUAUUUGAAUUUUCCAAUCACAUCAAACUGAAGAGAAGAUUUGAAUUGAAAGUCAACUUUUCAUUUGUUGAAAUAGAUAUUCUCUCUUAUAUUGGAUUGAUAGAGAAAACUAUCAGAAUGAAGUUAUGCCGAUUUACUUUGAUCAGGAUCUAUGUCUUCAAGCCGUUGGAUCUCUUGGUUUGUUUCUCCUAGAUCGGGUGGGCUUUCUUUUGAGAGAAAGGUCAUAGCAUAUCAAUGAAAUAUAGCUUAGGGCCAUGUCAGGGUCUGGCAUCUAAUAAAAAAAUUUUUUCAUGGUGCUGGGCCUGGUCCAGCAAUCCCUAUCCUUCACCAUCUGGCUCCCUCCAUGGGUGUGGGUGUUGCCCAUAGUUGAAAUUGAUCUUUCCCUUAAGCAAUCUAUCAGAUAGGAUAGAGACAUAAAACAAAAUAGAAAAAAAAUCCCAAAAUCCUGCUUCACCUAAUAAAGUGAUUCUGAAGUGAUAUAAUUCUCUUAGAAAAUUAUGUAGCCAAAAUAGAGAGAAUCUAAACUUUUAAGGGGUGCAUUUGCUGAUUAAGAUAUCAUAAAAGGAUGACUUAAAAUUAAGCCGAUUUUCUUAGUAAAUCAGCUUUCAUUGGCUGUUAUA
Molecule: long non-coding RNA, 1050 nt
Filed under: Androctonus crassicauda
Lineage: Eukaryota; Metazoa; Arthropoda; Arachnida; Scorpiones; Buthidae
Source: RNAcentral